This 493-nucleotide long non-coding RNA is filed under the name Ananas comosus (pineapple). RNAcentral describes it as "long non-coding RNA (ACOM_LNC038244)". Lineage: Eukaryota; Viridiplantae; Streptophyta; Magnoliopsida; Poales; Bromeliaceae. The record is from RNAcentral.
GCGUUCGGCUCGGUAUUCAGCUCACUUAAGCUCAACUUGAAAUUAAAUAAAUCAAACUUGAACAAAAAAAAAAAAACUCAAAAUUUAUUUCAAGCCGAGCUUGAUAUUAUUGGACUCGCUCGAAUUAGACCAAAAAAGCUCAAAUAUAUAUAUAUAUAUAUUAAAAAUAUUUAUAAAUAUAUAUAUUAUAAUAUAUAUCUUAAUUAUAUAUAAUAAUAUAUAAUAAUAUAUAUUAUGUAUUUUAAUUAUAUUUAUAUAGAGUUUUGGUUAUUGGAUAUAUUUGCUUGCUCACAAAAUUAAAUCAGUAAAAUUUUACUCUAAUUAUUCUCUCUCUCUUGCUCUCUCCUUCACUUGCUGGUAUAGUUGCUUUUCCUAAAUUAUUUUUUUUAAUAUUAUAAUAUCGUAGUUAUGUAUUUAUUUUAUCUUUUGAACUAUUAGACAUAUUUUUGUAUCAAAUUUAGAUAAUAUUUUUAAAAAUUAAACUAUAGAUUAC